GGGGGUGACUGGUUUCGACAGGGUAGUUCUGAGGUGGGCAGCAAGCCGUGGUCUCCUCGCCACGUUAAACAGGGGUACCGUCAAAUUGAAUUGACGACAACUCUUAUCAGGGCUCUUACGCCCUCGCUGCUUAAUUUACUAGCAGCCGUCUAACCGGGGAUCGCUCCCGUCUUCGGGGUGACGUCAUUCUAGGGAGAUGCUCCUGCGGACGUGGUUGGUAUGCCGCAGGCUAAGACCGAACCAACUGGGAUGCCGAACGCGUGUCGUUGGGUGCGAGGCGUCCGAGAGCCAACUAACGACUGAGCUUGGAGACACCUGCCAGGGGAUUGCUUUGGACCGGAGUUCGAUUCUCCGCACCUCCACCA
Molecule: non-coding RNA, 365 nt
Organism: Olsenella sp. oral taxon 809
Lineage: Bacteria; Bacillati; Actinomycetota; Coriobacteriia; Coriobacteriales; Atopobiaceae
Rfam family: transfer-messenger RNA
About the family: Bacterial tmRNA, also known as 10Sa RNA or SsrA, is named for its dual tRNA and mRNA-like properties. Its role is to liberate the mRNA from a stalled ribosome.
Source: Rfam